GUCCUUUUGAAAAUAAUUUAAGGUCUAGCCUGCCCACUGAAUAUUUAAAUGGCCGCAGUAUUUUGACUGUGCAAAGGUAGCAUAAUCAUUAGUUUUUUAAUUGAAAGCUGGAAUGAAUGGUUGGAUAAGAAAAUUACUGUCUCAGUUAAAUUUUUUUAUAAAUUUAUUUUUAAGUUAAAAAGCUUAAAUUUUUUUAAAAGACGAGAAGACCCUAUAGAGUUUUAUAAAAAUUAAAUUUUUUAUUUAAGAAAAAAAAAUUUUAAAUUUUAUUUUUAUUUAAUUGGGGUGAUUGAAAAAUUUAAAUAACUUUUUUUAUAUUAUUACAUAAAUUUAUGAUUAAUUGAUCCAUAAAUAAUGAUUAAAAGAUUAAAUUACCUUAGGGAUAACAGCGUAAUUUUUUUGGAGAGUUCAAAUUGAUAAAAGAGAUUGCGACCUCGAUGUUGGAUUAAAGUAAAUAAUUGGUGUAGAAGCU
RNAcentral lists this ribosomal RNA (472 nucleotides) under Mycetaea aff. ciliata. RNAcentral's name for it is "partial 16S large subunit ribosomal RNA". The record is from RNAcentral. Lineage: Eukaryota; Metazoa; Arthropoda; Insecta; Coleoptera; Endomychidae.